This is a long non-coding RNA of Cyanistes caeruleus (blue tit), 752 nucleotides long. The record is from Ensembl. Lineage: Eukaryota; Metazoa; Chordata; Aves; Passeriformes; Paridae.
ACUAAAUACAUACAAUAGAAGCAUGUCUAAAUCUAAGAGCUAUGUUCUCUAAAUUUCUAGAUCUGAGAAUAAAAUCACAACAGGAGGCCUGAUUCAAAGCAGCAAACUGCAAUGCAGCAGAUGGGAUUUCCAAGAGUAUUGCCCUGUCCUCACUUAUGUUGGAGUCAAUGAGAGUUUUCACAUCGAUAUUUAUGGGAAAGAGAAUCCCAUGGAACACGUGGAGUCCCUCUGUCAGGAUAUCUCUCACCAGCCUGGAAUCCUGGAGUGAGGCUUCAUCUGUGACCAGAUGCCUUUGAAAUGGUGAAACUUUGGAAUGGUGUGGAUGGUACAUCUCAGCCCUAGACAGAUGUCUAAAAUCACAGAGAAGAAUCACACUCUGGAGGUGCUAGACUGUCUGUCGACUUUCAAGUGAAUCCAGAUGAGCAGCUGGAACAAGAUACUUCAUUCUGGAUAGCUAAAAUUAGGUGAUAUGUAUCUAUACCAAUUACCUACAAAUUCUUGCUGCCAGCAUGGCUUACAAGGACUAGUUUAGAUUAUGUGUACUUGUCAGGGAGCAAUGAGUGAAAUUUGUUUUGACAUUGUUUCACUCUAAUGCGGCAGAAGAUGGUAAGAAUAUGCAAGCACAGGGUCCUUCUGCAUAAUUUGUAUAAUGAUGAUGAUUAUGGUACUGGCAACAUUUGUGAGAAAGAGAGCAAUUGACAGAGGAUGGGAAGAAGCACAAGCAAAUAAACUAACACAAUGAUCUAAUCUCA